RNAcentral lists this ribosomal RNA (500 nucleotides) under Zygoascus meyerae. RNAcentral's name for it is "eukaryotic LSU rRNA". It matches the Rfam family "Eukaryotic large subunit ribosomal RNA", at positions 62 to 566 of the family's 3401-position model. Lineage: Eukaryota; Fungi; Ascomycota; Dipodascomycetes; Dipodascales; Trichomonascaceae. The record is from RNAcentral.
AAACCAACAGGGAUUGCCUUAGUAGCGGCGAGUGAAGCGGCAAAAGCUCAAAUUUGAAAUCUGGUACUUUCAGUAUCCGAGUUGUAAUUUGUAGAAGCAACUUUGGUGAUGGUCUUUGCAUAAGUUCCUUGGAAUAGGACGUCAUAGAGGGUGAGAAUCCCGUUUAUGGUGAAGAACCCACACUAUGUAAAGUGCUUUCGAAGAGUCGAGUUGUUUGGGAAUGCAGCUCAAAGUGGGUGGUAAAUUCCAUCUAAAGCUAAAUAUUGGCGAGAGACCGAUAGCGAACAAGUACUGUGAAGGAAAGAUGAAAAGAACUUUGAAAAGAGAGUGAAAAAGUACGUGAAAUUGUUGAAAGGGAAGGGAUCCAAAUCAGACAUGGUAUUUUGUGAUCAACAGUCUUUCGGGACUGUGCACUCGCAUUUUACUAGGCCAGCAUCGGUUAGAAGGGGGUAAAAAAGAUUUUGGAAUGUGGCUCCUCGGAGUGUUAUAGCCAAGGUUAA